RNAcentral lists this ribosomal RNA (32 nucleotides) under Atropa belladonna (belladonna). The record is from RNAcentral. Lineage: Eukaryota; Viridiplantae; Streptophyta; Magnoliopsida; Solanales; Solanaceae.
AUAUGCUAUCAUACCAGCACUAACGCACCGGA